AGAGAAUUGGAGAGAGUGCAU
Molecule: microRNA, 21 nt
Filed under: Physcomitrium patens
Lineage: Eukaryota; Viridiplantae; Streptophyta; Bryopsida; Funariales; Funariaceae
Description: ppt-miR1023a-3p
Source: miRBase by way of RNAcentral